Non-coding RNA from Pelobates cultripes (western spadefoot toad), 229 nucleotides. Lineage: Eukaryota; Metazoa; Chordata; Amphibia; Anura; Pelobatidae. The record is from the annotation of a GenBank genome assembly.
GCCUAAGAGCAGAUGGCAGAUACUACAAAGGGUAGUUGAGAAUGACGGGGCUAAGAUCCAAUGGGAAUUUCAGAUCCAGACAGACAAGCACUGGCCAACCAACCCAACUCCAAACAGAAAAAAAUCAGAAGGUUGUAUAAAUAUCAAGUGAAUAAGAAAAAAUCUCCAGGCACUCAGUCUUCAAGCCACAGGCAGAUUUAUUGGCUCAAAAAGGCAACGCAAUGUUUCG